AGCAGCCGCGGUAAUUCCAGCUCCAAUAGCGUAUAUUAAAGUUGUUGCAGUUAAAAAGCUCGUAGUUGAAUUUCGGAAUCUGUCCGUUGGUCGGGCUUAAUUGUCCGUACUGAUGUGAUGGGUUCUUACCUUCUGAAUAACCAGCAUGUCAUUAAUUUGGUGUGUUGGGGAAGCAGGACUAUUACCUUGAAAAAAUUAGAGUGCUCAAAGCAGGCUAGUGCCUGAAUACAUUAGCAUGGAAUAAUAAAAUAGGACGGCAUGGUUCUAUUUUGUUGGUUUCUAGGAUCACCGUAAUGAUUAAUAGGGAUAGUUGGGGGCAUUAGUAUUCAAUUGUCAGAGGUGAAAUUCUUGGAUUUAUUGAAGACUAACUUCUGCGAAAGCAUUUGCCAAGGAUGUUUUCAUUAAUCAAGAACGAAAGUUAGGGGAUCGAAGACGAUCAGAUGCCGUCGUAGUCUUAACCAUAAACUAUGCCGACUAGGGAUCGGACGAUGUUAAUUUUAUAAUGACUCGUUC
RNAcentral lists this ribosomal RNA (513 nucleotides) under uncultured Acaulospora. Its description in RNAcentral is "SSU rRNA". It matches the Rfam family "Eukaryotic small subunit ribosomal RNA", at positions 569 to 1081 of the family's 1831-position model. Lineage: Eukaryota; Fungi; Glomeromycota; Glomeromycetes; Diversisporales; Acaulosporaceae. The record is from RNAcentral.